This 28475-nucleotide long non-coding RNA is filed under the name Fragaria vesca (wild strawberry). Its description in RNAcentral is "long non-coding RNA (FVES_LNC002099)". Lineage: Eukaryota; Viridiplantae; Streptophyta; Magnoliopsida; Rosales; Rosaceae. The record is from RNAcentral.
AGUGAUUAGAGUGUACCCUACAAAAAGACGCAUUUAAAAAUGUUAGAUGUGACUUUGACCAUCUGAUCAAAAAUAACAAACAAAUCAAGACCCAAGCUAGAAGAAAACUAGUCUUUAGAGUUUGGAAAAUCUUAACCUCGGCUAUUUGUUAAGGUUUUUUGUCUAUGAUAUGAAUAUUUUUUUAAAGUUGAAAAUCUGGUUUUUUUUUUUUUUUUUUUUGUGUUAAAUAGGAAAGGAGCCUGUAUAAGGCACGUGGAGUAAAAAUUUCACUUUCCAGAAUUAAAACGAUUCAACGAUGUUGCGGUUUGCAGUUUGAAGUAGCUCAGCUUCAAGCGUAGGCUUGAAGGCUGAAGCUCACUUGCACUACUGACACAUCGUCUCUCCCUUUUUGAGCCACUGAGCUGAAAUUUCAAACUUCCUAUGUUUUGUAAUGGAGGGUAUUAUCUACAUCAUCAAACUAGAGUUGCUGCGAUCUGUUCCUGAUUUGUCCAUUUCCAUAUUAUCUAACUUCUCUCCAGCUUAUUCUAAUUGUAACUCUAUUGCUUAGUUAACUCCGAGUUUCAUUGAAGCAUCGAACGUUAUUGCCCAUUGCAACAGACCCAUCUCUACUGCUGAAGCUUUUUGUGUUUCUUAGUUCAUCUUUUAGUGUAUUUUUUCUGAAUGAUUACUAUUUAUGUAUACAUUUUUGUUGGUAAAUCAUGAACUUGUGAGUGCCCAAUUUGUUAUUUUGAUGCUGAUUAAUUUCUCUAAAUCGAAAACUCCUUAUUACAAUAUUGUUGAUCAGCCUGAUAAUAGGUAAGGUAGAUGUAAAAAUAUGGACUUGGCUGAUUUGUAAAAGGUUUACUUUCAUGUGCUAUAUAAAUCCCUUGUUUAAAUUGACACCAAAAGAAACUCUUGUAAAGUUGAAAACUUGAUGCUGAAUGCAGAAACCGAGGACCACAACAACUAGGGAAGGCUCCAUUGAAAUGGGAGAGUACAACAAUCCCGAAUAUGUUGGAGUUAGUGAAGCAAAUUCCCCUAGGGUAAAUGACUUCAAGAAAGUCUCAGUCCUCCCCCUUGUCUUCAUCAUCUUUUAUGAGGUAUCUGGCGGUCCAAUUGGUGUUGAGGAAAGUGUCCAGGAAAAUGUACAAGGAAAUAAGACUAUCUCACACGGAUUUUAGUGAAAACAAACUAUUAGUCACGCUACAUUCACAAGAUCUCUUCUUUAUCCCUCUGCAAAUUAAUAUAAGAAUUCAUUCUCUCUCUCUCUGUGAAGCAUGGAAGGUUCAUCGGAUAGUGUCCAAGAUGGAAGAGAGCAACACGACGGUGCUAGUGACGGCAACUCCGUAGCUCCGUCUUCUGAUACCUCACGGUCAACAGAGUCUACUCAUAGACAUCAUCAUCAUCAAGUCCAGGUAUGGUAUAUAUUGGCUUCAAUACAUAUAUAACAUUAUUGGUCGUUGUUCAUUAUUAAAGAUAUUAUUAAAGAUACGGUCUUUGCUGUGUGGAUUGAAAGGAAUGAAAAGGUAGCACAAAGAAAUUUAAGGGUGGUUUGGUCAAAUCAACACAUGGGGUGUGUGGUUUGUGAAAACGGGUGUGAAAAUUUCAGUACCCUAUCUAUAUCAUCAAACAAGAGUUGCUGCAAUCUGUUCCUGGUUUGUCCAUUUCCAUAUUAUCUAACUUCUCUCCAGCUUAUUCUAAUUGUAACUCUAUUGCUUAGUUAACUCCUAGUUUCAUUGAAGCAUCGAACUUUAUUGCCCAUUGCAACAGACCUAUCUCUACUGCUGAAGCUUUCUGUUUUUAUUAGUGUCUAACAAUUAGUUCAUCUUUUAGUGUAUUUUUUCUGAAUGAUUACUAUUUAUGUAUACAUUUUUGUUGGUGAAUCAUGAAAUUGUGAGUGCCCAAUUUGUUAUUUUCAUGCUGAUUAAUUUCUUUCUCUAAAUCGAAAACCCCUUAUUUACAAUAUUGCUGAUCAGCCUGAUCAUAGGUUAGGUAGAUGUAAAAAUAUGGACUUUGCUGGUUUGUAAGAAUAGGUUUACUUUGAGGUGCUAUAUAAAUGCCUUGUUUAAAUUGACACCAAAAGAAAACCCUUGUAAAAUUGAAAACUUGAUGCUGAAUGCAGGAACCGAGGACCACAACAACUAUGGAAGGCUUUAUUGAAAUGGGAGAGUACAACGAUCCCCAAUAUGUUAGAGUUGGUGAAGCAAGUUCCCCUAGGGUAAAUGACUUCAAGAAAGUCUCAGUCCUCCCCCUUGUCUUCCUCAUCUUCUAUGAGGUAUCUGGCGGUCCAAUUGGUGUUGAGGACAUUGUCAGGGCUGCCGGUCCCCUUCUAGCACUAAUCGGAUUCUUGGUGUUUCCAUUCAUUUGGAGUGUUCCUGAGGCCUUGAUUACUGCAGAGAUGGGUACCAUGUUCCCUGUGAAUGGGGGUUAUGUGGUUUGGGUUUCUUCAGCCCUGGGUCCAUAUUGGGGGUUCCAAGUAGGAUGGGUGAAAUGGUUAAGUGGAGUCAUUGAUAAUGCUUUGUACCCUGUUCUGUUUUUGGACUACUUGAAGUCAGCCAUACCAGCUUUAGGCUAUGGAGUUCCAAGAAUCGAAGCAGUGGUAGCUUUGACAUUGCUUCUCACUUACUUAAACUAUAGGGGUUUAACCAUUGUCGGAUGGGUUGCUAUAUUUUUAGGGAUUUUCUCGUUCAUUCCUUUUGUGGUUAUGGGACUUGUGGCAAUUCCUAAGUUGAAGCCUUCAAGAUGGUUAGUGGUGAGUCUACACAAUGUGAACUGGAAUUUGUAUUUGAACACUCUCUUUUGGAAUUUGAACUAUUGGGAUUCGAUAAGUACAAUUGCUGGAGAGGUAGAGAACCCAAAGAAGACUCUCCCCAGGGCUCUCUUUUAUGCUUUUUAUUUGGUUGUUGUUGCAUAUUUCUUCCCCCUUUUAAUUGGUACUGGCGCUGUUCAACUUGAUCCUGAGUUGUGGACUGAUGGCUACUUCUCUGAUAUUGCAAAAAUUGUUGGGGGAGUUUGGUUGAGAUGGUGGAUCCAAGGGGCUGCAGCCAUGUCAAAUAUGGGGAUGUUUGUGGCUGAAAUGAGUAGCGACUCUUUCCAACUUCUAGGGAUGGCAGAAAGAGGGAUGCUGCCUGAGUGUUUUGGUAAGCGGUCUCGUUAUGGAACCCCAGUCAUUGGCAUUUUGUUCUCAGCUUCUGGAGUCCUUUUGUUAUCUUGGCUAAGCUUUCUAGAGAUUGUAGCUGCAGAAAACUUCUUGUACUGUGUUGGAAUGAUUUUGGAGUUCAUAGCAUUUAUACGAUUACGAAUGAAAUACCCAGCUGCGUCUCGGCCUUACAAGAUUCCUAUUGGAACAGUUGGAGCUGUUCUUUUGUGCACCCCACCAACCCUACUAAUUGGAGUAGUGUUGGCUCUUUCUAAGCGCAAGGUUGUUGUUGUGAGCCUUAUUGCUUUAGUGAUUGGCCUUGUGAUGCAGCCCUGUCUCAAAUAUGUUGAGAGAAAGAGGUGGAUGAAGUUCUCCAUCAAGCUCUGAUCUCCCAGAUCUUCAGGGUGCUAAUCAGGAGAGUGCCAACUCCUUAACAGAUUAGUAAGCUCACAACAUUGCCAACUCCUUAACAGAUUAGUAAGCUCUCAAAAUGUUGUGUUACAGUAUAUUUAGUGGAUAGCAAUAUGUUGUGCAACAGCUUUGAUAUUGAUAGAUCAGCACCAUAAAUUGCCUAGCGAAAACUGUGAAGUUUCUACAAACAGAAUAAAUUGUAAAUUUAGUUUCUGUAGCAUAUUUGGAUCCAACUUUUGUUUAUGACUAGUCAGCAACUCGCGCGCUGCCGCGGUUACUUUGUUGUUGUUAACGUAGUAGAACAAAUAUGGAAUAGGUUAACAUUGCAUUAAAAUUAUGUGUUGCAUAUUACAUUGAUUAAGAAGGGUAUAGAUGUGUUGUCCACAUAAACGGACUUGAAGAAAAUAGAAUUGGACUGUUCCUCUGGACUUUUAUUGCAACUGCACUUUGGUCUAUCAUGCAACUGUGCUGUUCCUCUGGCUCUUCAGUGAACUUGAACUUGAGAUGUGCAUGUCAACACCUGAUACAGCAAAGAAUAUCAUUUACUGGUGCAGAGUUCUCAGAAGCAAAUUUUUUUAUAAAAAAAAAAAAAAAAAAAAAAAAUAUCUACCAGUUACUAUACGACUUUAACCAGUAGGCAUCCUUUCUACAUUUUUACACAAACUUUAAAAAAAAAAAAAAAAAAAAAAAAAAAAAAUAACAAAUCGUGUGAAGCGACUAUUGUUGAAGGCACGGGCAUGAUACAUACUACUUCAGACAACUCUUUUCUUAUUAUAUUAAGAUUCAGUGAUAAAAGGCAUUGGUCUGCCUAUUUCUAACACUGAUUUGUUUCCAUAUUCCCUUAAAUGCAGUGAACUCAAAUUCAGCAGGCAAUUGAACUGAAAACACAUGAAAUCGAAUCACUCACUCACCUUCUAACUCUGGGCUACAGAGUUUUUCUUCCUUCAAUUACAGGCCAAAGAUGUUUCCUGAACCGGUACAGAAGACGCAAACGAUUGCACAGGCUUAAAACUUUAAUUUGCCUUAGGAUAAAACAAUCACAUCAAUAGAAAUUAAAAAUAAAAUAACAGCAAUUCAAAUCCAUUAAGAAACAAUAUGAUUAUAAUGAUGCAUAAUGGUACUAAAGUACUAAAGUAGCCUCACUAUAUUAGUUAAGUUCCAAACAGUUUGAGGAUCAAGAAAUGCUUGGUAACUGGAUAAAUCUUUGGCUUUGUAAGUAAUCAGAGAUCUAUGUUAAAUUCCUCAUUAAAGGUUUAAGCCGUGUUCAAAUUUUUUCUAUGUGUUCCCGUGUAAGUAAGCUGAUGUCUUAUUCUUUAACACAAAUUUAACUUCUUUCUAUCAAACCUGGGAAAAGUGAGGGCCAUGCAGAGUUGUUAUCCACAUAUUUGAUCAUAAUAAUUGACUAUUUCAGUGUUGAGAAAAAGAAACUAACAAAAUUCCAGACCUCUGAUGGUAGGUGUGAAGGGCCAAGCCAGAGUUCAUCUAAUACAAUAGAUUAACAGAAUAAGAAUAGAUAUUUUGGACAUUUCUUGAUAAAGGGCUUUGCUUUGUAUAUUUAAGGGCUCCAUAUACAUAUUUGGUGAAUAUUUACAAAUACCAAAUAAAGACUUGUGUUAUUCAAACAAAUAAGACCAAGGCAAGAACAAUCAUUAUACAUGAUAUCAGAAAGUGGAUAAUAUGAGAAAGUAAUACCUACUUGAAAACAUCUAGGUAACCUUGUACACAAAAAUAAUCAUUCUCUAUGGAGUCCCAGAUGUCCUGCAUAUACAGAAGGUAUUUGAAAUAAAUUUCUUACACAAAAUAAGUUUCAGCAACUAACCUUCAUAAAAGUAAUAGUGGCAGAUGAUUCUCACAACAUGCUUGCAGAAAUAAAUAAAAAAAUACAAUACGAACAUUAGNNNNNNNNNNNNNNNNNNNNGGUAAAAAAGUGAAAACUAAUUCAGUUGAACUGAGAAGGUAAAAGGAAAGCAAAACACAACUGAACUAAUAUAUCAGUACACAAAACUCAAUUCGAACUCCAGUUUUGUACAAAAAUGAAUAGUAGAAAGAGCACUGAAUUCAAUUCAAGAAGAAUAUACCAAGUGUGUAAGAACCCAUAUAUCAACACAUUCAAAUUGAGGAGCUAUACCUUUAAUCACCAAAAAGAUUGUCAACAUUCAGAUUGCCUUUCCACUAAACUCCAGAGCUGCACAUUAAUCACCAAAAAGAAUUUGAAGCACAUUUAACAGCACACCGUAAUAUUUUAUUUAACCUUUAAAAUACUAAAUACAAAAGAUACAAAAACGUAUGAACCUUAAAAUCAAAAACCCAAUGCUUUUAAGUCCUCUUGCUGAGACCGAACCCCGAAAACAUUGAUACCCUAUACAAAUGAAAGGAAUAAAAUACAAAACUGAUACACCAAUAUUGAGCAUGAAGACCAUGACCAAGUUGAUAAUUGCAUCUUCCAUAUUUCAUCAAAUAAAGUAUUUCAAGUAAACAAUUUUGAUUAAAAUCCGAAAAAUUCAAAUUCAAGAGUAUAUGAGUCUGAUAUAAAAGAAGAAUUCUGUAAACACAACAUCAAGUGAUCAAACUAUGAAAAAACAAUAACCAAGCAGUUUGAAGUUACACAAACAAACACGAAUGCAAACCCGACCAAAAAUGAACGUUAAUCUACUCUCCCCAAUUUCAACAAACCUUAUAUACAACAUUUCCACUAUCUUGUGAUAUACUUUAAAAUUUCCCAUUUCAAAGUCCUAUGAGAAAACAGUAACAAAGCAAUUUGAAUUUCCACCAUCUUUCUUCUUUUUUUAAUAAAAAACAUCCCAAAUUUCCUCAGAACCCAAAUACAGAAAUAGCAAAGCCAAAUACUGAAAAUACUGAAAUUCCUAUACAUACAAAUACUAAGUGAAAUAGAANNNNNNNNNNNNNNNNNNNNCUGAAAUUCCUAUACAUACAAAUACUAAGUGAAAUAGAAGCUUCUCAUAGAGAGAGGGGCAGAAACAUCAAUUGAUCGAAUCAGGAACUCACCUGAAGUUGAAUUUCUGGAAGACGAAAAGUUUGGCGUAAAUUCCAACCCUGAUUAUGACCGAUGCUCCUCCUCCUCACAUCAAAAACCCAAAAACCCAGAACCACCUCCCUUGUCCUUGCUGAUGACAAACCCAAUAUUACACCUUAAACCCCUGCAUCAUUGAAACCCCAAAUCAUUGACAUACAAAGAUUGAAAGUAAACUCAAGAAACUCUUUCAGAAAACCCAGCAAAUAAAUCCUAAAUCGAAGAAAAGCAAACAUGAUCACGACAUGCACAAAGUAAAUUACCCAAAUUCGUGAAACCAGAAUGCAAAGGAAGAGGGGGAUUGAGAAAAAGACCCGAUCUAAAUCGAAAUCUACCAAAUUUAAGGAUCCGAAACUCAUAUGCCCACAAAAUAAUUGCAUGUAUCAACAUUUUUCUCUCAGUUUAUCCACAAUCAAUGAGUUGCUGAUCUUCGAUCACCAAAAAAAACAACAUGCAACUGCCGAUCUUGGCAUGCACAUCUUCUACAGGUAGAUCGGAAGAGAGAAGUAGAGAGAAACCGAGAAGAAACAAAAUGGAAAAACGGCGAAUGCUUAGAUGUUGAAUAUUCAGUUUAUUUCUUUCUUAUAAUUUUGUUACAAGUUCAAGGGUAGGUUGGUUGUUCCUAUUCAAUACAUUGGUAUUGAUUCCACGCACAACUUUCGCUAUUCAAUAUAUUCAUACGUAACAAGAACAAAACGCAUCCAGAAGUUAACGCUUAAACAUAAUCGACUCCAGGAGGACACGAAGAUAAUAGGGUAAAAACACUGAGGCCAAUCCCAACAGUGUAAGCAGUAUGUCUCGCGUCCCGAGAUCAUGUACAUGCCUAGAAUGCAAAAUUUCCACCCAAGUACUUGGGAGGAGAAACAAUAUCCUAUACAAAGAAGAUGACGCAUAUCAAAUAUAAUCAGGAAGAGAUGGCAAAUCUCGACUUUAACCAAUUAUUGUUUUUAUGUUUUCCAGGAUAACCGGAAGGCGCAAUGCACUUGUAAGAAAGGGUUCCAUGGUCGACGGGAGGAACAGUCACUGGUUAUCUGCAACAACUUCCACUUUCAACUCAUGGAAGCACGGCCCUGACUUCUUUCCUAUCAGGUCCAUAUGACUGCAGUCAAAAGAGUACAAAAUAAUCGUUAUCAGUAUAACAACAACAGUUGCAAAUUGAGAUUAGUGGAGAGUAGAUAUGAACUUAAGCUGCAAUUGCAGCCUGCAAGGACCAUAUAUACAUUCAGAAAGUAAGAAAAGUCUUUUCAACUAAACUUUCAAACUAUAACUUAAGAGGCAAAGAAAAGGGGCCAAGUAAUAGUUUAUAAAUGCUAAUACAUGAAAGUCAGUGAGAACCAAAUUCCAAAAGUUGAAUAGAUCAGGUCAUGGAUUUAUACACAAGACUACAGAAACACUUAUUUUGACACCCACUAUGUUAUAAACUGAACUCCACAUAACGAAAUGACUAAUGCAUAUUCAUUCUUGAUCAUUGUAUUUUUGUUAAAGUCUAUUAAUGGAACUGAAUAACAGAGUCACUCUCCCUGGGUGUAAAAUCAACUAGAGAUUGGCAAACAUAAGAUGAUCAAGAUUCUUUUAUAGUUUCACAUUAAUAUUGCCAAAGACACAAGCAACUUAUAAUAAGACAGAGACCUAUCAGGGGUAGCAACAUAUAAUCACAAAUGUGACAGUAAGCUUCAUUUGUGAAAAGAGGCAUUCUCAACUAAGAUCUAUAAGCUUCAUUUGCUGCUCAUGGUGAAUACUAUAGAAUAAGGUGUAUGGCUGUGAGUAUGUCUGGUUGAGGGAGAUAAAUAUUACCUCGAGUCCACAAUCUUUCACGUAAAUAUUUGUGAAAAGUUCAAAGGGUUCUGGCAUUGGGCUUUCCUGGAAACAUAACAAAACCGAAUAUCAGAAAUGUGGGUGAACAGUAUAUGAUCAUGAAAGACAGUUGCAUCCAUAUCAGAAAGGAACUACUAAAAUUAGAAGAAUAUCAAGUUUCGUACUUUGGCCUUAGCAAUGGCUUCAUCAACUUCUUUUCUUGCUUCCUUCUCAAUAUCCUGAAAGAACAGAAAUUUAGAAGAACGUAUUCAGUUUUCACAAGUAAAUCAAUUGAAUUCCAGCAUCAUUCCCAUUUUAACAUUUCCUUUCCGGCAUGUAAGCUGGGAUCAAUACCCCCGCAAGAUAAGAAAUGAGGACAAAACCAACUGUUCUAAAGAACUCGACCUUGAUAUUGGAACCAGGCAUACCAAAAUGGAAUUCAAAGUUUAAUAUAUAAUCCAGCCAGAUUGAAUAUAAAAUAGUAAAAAAUACCUUCAGCUCCUUCUCAGUCGCUAUAUCAUGAGCAAAUAUCAGCUUUCUUAUUCUUUCAAUUGGAUCACGCUCCUAAAAUCACAUCACCAGGUAAAAUAAGAGAAGAUACAUAUUUGAAGGUGUGGAUAUAAUCCCCUUAACUAAGUAAUCAAAAAGCUGCAUCAGUAAAAUCAAACCUGUCUCACGCCAGAUAUCUCAUCACGUGUACGGUAGGUGCUCCCAGGAUCAGACAUGGAGUGACCGUGGUACCUGUAAGUGUCCAUUUCAAGAAUCUGAAAGCACAAAAACAGAAAAAGUUUGUCAGAUUAUACAUGAAAAUUAACAGUAGACUAUCAUUUUUCACAUAAAAACUUCAAAAAAGUUUUUAAGUGUUGUCAAUGCCUCAAUCAACUAACAACUUGCUGGUUUUGAACCAACAAUAUUGGAAUGAUUUUGUCUGAACCAAACUCACACAGAACCUGACAACUUUUAAGUGAGCAUGCCAAGAAGAUGUCUGAUCUAUUUACUGCUAAAAUAUUAGGACUUGUCAACUUCUAAAUUGUAUUUGCUAACUUCCUGAACACUCCCAAAAUUUUCAUUUUAAGAACAUGGGAAAAAAAUUUCCAACACAUAUGGUGUAAAACUUCAACCAAACAUUCUACACCCACUGCAUUUCCAGUAUUUCUCUUUUACUCGUGUAAAAUUUCAGGAGUUUUGAUGAAGCAGAAAUGCUAGUCAGUUCAUUUUAGCUAUAAUGUUACAUGCCCUUUGCAGACUCUAACAUCAUACUGGAGUGACUAAGUGAGGGGCUCUCACACCAAAAGUCAUUUAACCAACCUACGAGUACAUCAGGUUUCAAUAUACGUGUGAUCAAACUACGUUGUGUGGCGUUAAUACUAAAGGCAACUUAUGUAAGCAAUAAUUUGACCAAAGAACUUGAAACACUUUGUCAGAGUAACAAAUGAAACUCACAAUGGGUCCAUUCUUCAAAGCAUGCUCCUUUGCAAACUUGCAUGCCUGUUUCACAGCAAACACAUCCAUACCAUCUACCUGUUCCAAAGUAGAAAAUUGUUCACAAAACACAUUAGCAAAAAGAACAAAACUACUCCUAAGAGAUUAAACUCCUUAUCAGCUAAAAUAUUCUACCCGUUGCCACAGUAAAAUUACUUCAGCACACUCCUGAUCAUAAUUUGAACUUGACAAACGCGCCAUACUUUUACUUAAAACAACACGUAUCAUUUAUAAAAGUAGCUAAAAACUUCAGGACACGAAUUAAGCAGUGUUCAACUGACCUUCAAGCCAGGAACAUAGUCUCCACGCUUGUAAUAAGCCGGACUCUUAGCAGCUCUCCACUCAGCCGUUCCCAUUCCAUCUGCGUAAAACCAAUUCAAAUCAGUAAACCUAUCAUUUCCGAAAGCAAUGCAUCUAAAAAAAAUCACACAAACCAAUCAAACUGAUCACACUUACAGUGAUUAUUCUCACAGACCAAAAUCGCAGGCAAAUCCCAAAGCGCAGAGAUAUUAAGCGCCUCGAAAAGCUGCCCCUGGUUAGCAGCACCGUCUCCGUAGAGCGCAAACGUCACCGUUUCGUCCUUGGAGUACUUCUGCCCAAAAGCCAAGCCACAUCCGAGCGGCACCUGAGCUCCGACGAUGCCGUGGCCGCCGUAAAACCCGGACUCCUUCUUGUAAAAAUGCAUGGAUCCUCCUUUUCCUUUGGAGCAGCCGCCCUGGCGUCCCAUGAGCUCGGAGAAGACCUCCAGUAGGGUUCCGCCGCGGCCGAGGAAGGUGCAGUGGUCGCGGUAGGCGGUGAUGAUGCAGUCCUUCUUGGUAAUUGCGGCCUCCAUGCCGAUGGCGACGGCCUCCUGGCCGUCGUAGAGGUGGCAGAAGCCGCGGAUGAGCUUGGCCUUGUAGAGCGAGUCGGCGGCGAUCUCCAUGCGGCGCAUGAGGGCCAUGUCGCGGAAGAAUUUCAUGAGCUCGGCGGCGGAGGUCUCGACGGUGCGGGAGGGGACGUCGCAGACGUGGGAGGUGAAGGGGAGGGAGGUCUCGAUGGUGAUCGGGGAGGUGGAGUCGGAGGAGAGGGAGCGGCGGAGGGAGAGGGCGGAGGCGAGGGGUUUGAGGAGGCUGGAUCCGGAGGAGGAGGAGGAGAGGCGGGAGAGAGCCAUGGUGGCGGGAUUGGAUCGGCUCUGGGAGAGAGUGAGAUCCGGUGGAGGAGGGUUUGGUGAAGAAGGAGUGAGGGGGUUUGGUGAGAGAGAUAGAAGCGAAAUGGGGGGUAUCAAAAUCUUUAAAAUAUUAACAUUUUGUGAUGGGUCUUCUUUGGCUUACUGGUGUCAUUAGGUGACGGGCUGAUUUUUUGGACUUUACAAGUUUACAGUAUUUUCUACUUCUUGGGCCAUUUACCAUAUAUUGCAAAUUACCUUCAUUUUCAAGAUUGUCAUUUCCACGUUAAGUAAUCUUUAUGCUGAUGUCCGAUGUCUUCGACUCGUUUAGUGGUUUUUGUGUAGUUGAGUGUGCUUUUUAAUUUCGUCUGUUAAAUGCUCAGAUACUAUGUUAUAAUGUAUCGAUAGAGCAUUUCAGAUGCGACUAGUGAUUAUAAGACUUUUGAGAGAGGAAAAAACAAGAAAAAACAAAUAUAAGGGUUGUAAGUGCAGACGUUUGACUAAAAUAGAUCCCCUUACUGGUGUUUAAUGGGGCAUCCAAGUGUUUGGUGGGAGUAAGCAAAGAUGUGCUGCGUGUUGUUUGGUAUUAUAUUGCCAAGGGGCGCUAACACAGCCCACCCUUUUUGUUUUAUACUGCCAAUUGCAAAACAGACACAUCAUGCCCUUUAGUUAUUUGGCCUUUUGGUAUUGGUCCUCUAAUUAAAAGAUUUAUGUACAAAAUGCUAUGUUUUUAUAUUUUUGAUUGAAUGCUAUGUGUUUGUAUGGAAAACUGGAAAAGGGUAUAUAAUGCUAAUCGGUAUAAAUUGAUUUGGAACCAUCAGAAAAAGAGUAACGUGGGUUCAUAUAACAGUGUCUAGACCCUAGCAUAAUAAUAAUGAAGUCUGUCCAGAUGUAGUAUUUUUUUUUUUAAGGGAAUGAAGAACUUUAUUGAUUAAACAUCAUUAUAAUCCUGAGAGAGUAACAUCUCCACGUUCGGAAGAAUAAUGGUAAAAAAAAUUAUCAUAAUGAACAACCAACUUGACUUCUCUAGCUAUAGUAUGUGCUACCAUGUUACAUUCUCUCAUGACAUGACAAAGAAUGGCGAAAUCAGCUUGUUGUAGUAGUUGUUUCAGAUCUGAUAUCAAUAAACCUAAAUCAGAAUGGUCCAGGGAAUUACUUGUGACUGCAUACACUAACUCUUGACAAUCAGUUUGCACAAAUCAACGGCACUAGGUGAUCUGAUAAGGCAUAUUUCUAACAUUUAAUCAGGAAUUCUGCAUGCCGUAUAAAAGCUGCAUGAGGUAAAAAAUGCCGAAAACCCUUUAGAAAGGUUCUAUUAGCAGCCCGAAAAACACGUCCAAAUGUAGCAAUUGGUUCAACUAAAUAUAGUGAUUAUAGUCCAUACGUCAUUUCCAUUUAUGUAACAAAUACUUUUGGAAAUCAAAGGCUACAUUACUUGAAUACGCAGAGCUUCAAACAGCUCGUAAUCGAAGAGAUCAACCUUGAGGCGGUGGGACCACUGUACAGUUCAGGCAUUGUUCACUUGGUAAUAAGGCCCAUAAACCUUGAGGCCCAUUUAUUAGUGGAUAGCUGCCGUUUACGGCAAGCCGUAUGAGAGAUUUUUUUCCAAUCUCAAAUUAUGGCGUAUGAUUCUCCCAGACGAUAAAUACGGACUGAACAAGAUUUUGCCCAAAAAUCUCUCCCGCCAUGGACACACUCUCUAUCCUCUCACCCUCUCCCACCUUCUUCUUCACGCGCCUCCUCUCUCUCAAACCCUCACCUCCUCCCUUUCUUCACCACCUCACCCAAACCCUAGCCUUCUCCUCCCCCAAGCCACCACCGCCACCUCUUCCCCCUAAUCUACUCCGAUUCCGAGUCACUUUCCAGUCCCCUAGCUCCGCCUUCGCCGCGAAAUCUCAGCUCUCCGACGCCGACGACGAUGAGGAGGAAGACGAGUUCGAGGAGGAGGACGACGACGAAGAAGACGUCGCGGCCGACGAGUACGACGACAUUUCCGGCGAAAUCUCCGACGACGGCCUCGAACAAAGCGACGAUGAAAUUGACAUGGAGUCGUCUCCGGCGAUUCGAAGCGAGGAAUUCAGGUGGCAGAGAGUGGAGAAGCUCUGCGAGGACGUCAAGCAGUUCGGCGAGGAAAUGAUCGACGACGGCGCGCUUGCUUCUAUCUACGAUUUCCGAAUCGAUAAGUUUCAGGUGGUGUUUUGAUUUAGACUACUCACAUUUUCUGAUUUCUCUGUAUCAAUUUGUGUAUCAUGUACUGAUUUUGAGGUGUUGAUUUUGGAUAGAGAUUAGCUAUACAAGCAUUCUUGAGAGGCUCAUCAGUAGUUGUGUCAGCGCCGACGAGUAGCGGAAAGACUUUGAUAGCGGAAGCUGCUGCUGUAGCUACUGUAGCUAAAGGAAGGAGAUUGUUCUACACAACUCCGCUUAAGGCCUUGUCGAAUCAGAAGUUUCGCGAAUUUCGGUAUGUGAAUGAGUGUUAGUUGCUCUUUUAUCAGUUUAUGACCUGUUGGUUUGGCAAUGUAGGUGAUGUGCUCAUACGUCAGUAGCUAAGUUGAAUUUUAGCUGAUUUGUUGUUGUGAUUUCAGUGAAACUUUUGGUGAGGACAAUGUUGGCCUUCUCACGGGGGAUUCGGCAAUAAACAAAGAGGCUCAGGUUCUGAUCAUGACCACAGAGAUUUUGCGCAACAUGUUGUAUCAGAGGUAUGUUUAGGUUUUGCAGAACAACUUUCUAUUCCAUCUCUUCAGAACUAGUGUAGAUAUUCAUGAUGUUAGCUUUCCAAUUCAGCGACUGAGUUUGUUGUUGGAGUAAAGGAAAAUUCACCUUAGUUUUCAUAGUGCAGUGUUGGAAUGGCUUCUGCGCGGGACUCACUAUUUCACGUGGAUGUAAUAGUCUUGGAUGAAGUUCAUUAUCUAAGUGACAUAUCUCGCGGUACAGUGUGGGAAGAAAUUGUAAGUGCAUUUUGCCAUCAUGCCUCUUUUAUUAGUGUUAUCAUGCCAAUAAUGUCAUCAGAGUAGUAAUAUUAGUGUUAUCAAAUAUUCCAGGUUAUUUAUUCCCCAAAAGAGGUUCAACUCAUAUGUUUGUCCGCAACAGUUGCUAAUCCAGAUGAAUUGGCUGGUUGGAUUGGUCAGGUACUUAGGCCUUACAUGGUGACUUUGUUUUUUCCUCAUUUGUUCAAUUUUACAUUUUUCUUCACAUUUGAUUGUUAGGACUUGCAAGAGUUAAUUGAAUUUUCCCUUCAUCCUGUUUCUAGAUUCAUGGUAAAACUGAAUUGGUAACUUCAACAAAGCGUCCAGUACCACUGACUUGGCAUUUCUCGAUGAAGACUUCUUUAUUACCACUUCUUGAUAAAUCUGGAAAACACAUGAAUAGGUAUUUUUCUUGUUCCUUUUUUCCCCACUAGUUUUUGCUGUUGAGCUGCUGUCUUAACAGAUGAUCAAAAUGGUUAAAGCCAGUAGUUUGAUCUUAUUUCAUUAUGAAAUAAUUUGUACUGACUUUAUUUCCCAGUACUUCUUUCCUUUGAAAAUAGGGGAACAUCAAAUGAUAUUAACAUUUUUUGUAAAUGAACAGGAGGUUGUCAGUCAAUUAUCUGCAACUCAGUGCUCCUGCACCAAAAUCUAAUAAAGAUGAUGGAUCGAGAAGGAGGAAUUCAAGAAGACGGACUAGUGAGACUAGCUAUGAUGACAGUACUGGUAACAUGUCUAGACGACCACUUUCAAAGAAUGACAUCAACUUAAUAUACCGUUCACAAGUAUGAUUUCUGCAUCAAUCUUUUGAGACACGACACAGACACAUUACACGAAUUGCUUUCUUUGUCCUUGGAAAACUAAAUUAGUUAGGUUUUAUUAUGUUUCUACCUGUGAUAUCAAUGUUCCUGCAAUUAUUGACCAAUCGAUCUGAUCAUACUGUUUUAUUUGCCAUUCUUAUAGGUGCCUCAAGUUACUGAUACAUUAUGGCACCUUAAGGCUAGGGAUAUGCUACCAGCAGUAUGGUUUAUUUUUAGCAGGAAAGGUUGUGAUGCCGCCGUUCAGUAUGUUCAAGAUUGCAACCUUUUGGAUGACUGUGAAGCAAGUGAGGUUGAAUUAGCGUUGAAGAGGUUCCGCCUAAAGUAUCCGGAUGCUAUCAGGGAGAGUUCAGUAAAGGGGUUACUGCGAGGGGUUGCUGCCCAUCAUGCGGGCUGUCUACCUUUAUGGAAAUCAUUCAUAGAAGAGCUGUUUCAGCGUGGUCUUGUUAAGGUUGUAUUUGCUACAGAAACACUUGCUGCGGGAAUCAAUAUGCCUGCUAGAACAGCCAUUAUUGCAUCCCUCAGCAAAAGGAGUGACAGUGGACGUACCCUAUUGAGCUCAAAUGAACUACUUCAAAUGGCUGGGCGUGCUGGACGUAGAGGCACGGAUGACAGGGGUCAUGUAGUGCUUAUUCAAAAUCCUUACGAGGGUGCUGAAGCUGGUUGCAAGAUUCUUUUUGCCGGACUUGAACCUUUGGUAUCACAGUUUACUGCUUCAUAUGGAAUGGUGCUAAAUCUUCUUGCCGGUUCAAAAGUUACUCGUAGGUCAAAUGAAUCAGAUGAAACAAAAGCCUCCCAAUCUGGGCGAACUUUGGACGAAGCUAGAAAGCUAGUUGAACAAAGUUUUGGAAACUAUGUUGGGAGCAAUGUUAUGCUUGCUGCAAAAGAGGAGAUUGCUAGAAUCGAGAAAGAAAUAGAGAUGCUGACUUUGGAAAUUAGUGAUGAUGCCAUUGACAGAAAAAGCAGGAAGCUCUUGUCUGGACCAGCAUACAAGGAGAUUGCGAAUCUACAGGAAGAAUUAAGGGCAGAGAAACGCCUAAGGACUGAACUUCGAAAAAGAAUGGAAUCUCAGAAGCUUUCUUCACUACGGCCCUUAUUAGAGGAAUGCGAAAAUGGGCAGUUACCCUUUUUGUGCUUGCAGUAUAAAGAUUCAGAAGGAGUUCAACACUCUAUCCCAGCUGUUUAUUUGGGGAAGGUUGAGUCACUAAGUGGCUCAAAACUUAAGAACAUGGUUUCUGUGGAUGACUCUUUUGCACUAACCCCAGUAGCAGUAGAGUCUGAACCAACUUCAGUUUUUGAACCAUCGUAUUAUGCCGCUCUUGGCUCAGAUAACUCUUGGUACCUAUUUACAGAAAAGUGGAUCAAAACAAUUUAUAAGACAGGCUUUCCAAAUGUUGCCUUAGCUCUAGGAGAUGCUUUGCCUCGGGAAAUAAUGAGCAUGCUUCUUGAUAGAACCGAAAUGAAGUGGGAGAAGCUUGCCGAGUCUGAUCUUGGUGGUUUUUGGGGCAUGGAAGGAUCUCUUGAGACGUGGUCUUGGAGUUUGAAUGUACCUGUCUUGAAUAGUCUUUCUGAACAUGAUGAGCUUUUACACAAGUCACAAGCAUAUAAUCAUGCUGUAGAGCGUUACAAAGAACAAAGAAGUAAAGUUUCACGUCUGAAGAAAAAGAUAUCACGCACACAAGGCUUCAGAGAAUACAAGAAGAUCGUAGACAUGGCCAGCUUUACUGAGGAGAAGAUUAAGCGCUUGAAGGGUAGAGCAAGACGUCUGACUAAUCGAAUAGAGCAGAUUGAACCAUCUGGCUGGAAAGAGUUCUUGCAGAUCAGCAAUGUCAUACACGAAACUCGGGCAUUAGAUAUUAACACUCAUACCAUAUUUCCACUUGGUGAAACUGCAGCUGCCAUCCGAGGAGAGAAUGAACUGUGGCUUGCCAUGGUUCUUCGAAAUAAGAUCUUAUUAAGUUUAAAGCCUACAGAACUUGCUGCCGUGUGCGCAAGUUUAGUAUCUGAAGGGAUCAAAAUUCGACCUUGGAAAAAUAACAGCUACAUAUAUGAACCUUCAAGCACAGUAGUCGACGUGGUGAGCUUCUUGGACGAGCAAAGAAGCAGUUUCUUACAGCUCCAAGAAAAGCAUGGGGUAAAUAUACCAUGCUAUUUGGAUACCCAGUUUGCAGGCAUGGUUGAAGCCUGGGUUUCUGGGUUGACAUGGAGGGAGAUCAUGAUGGAUUGUGCAAUGGACGAGGGCGAUUUAGCCCGCCUUCUGCGGCGAACUAUUGAUCUGCUUGUGCAAAUUCCCAAGUUGCCUGAUAUAGACCCCGUCUUGCAGAGCAAUGCAAAGACGGCGUCGAAUAUCAUGGACCGCCCUCCGAUUAGUGAGUUGGCUGGUUGAUCACAUUAUAUUUAACAAAAGGAUAUCAAUUUGCAAACGGUAUGCACUGCAAUACCAUAUCUACAAGAGCAAAAAAACAAUGAAUAAUUGGAUUUUUUUUCAAAAAAAAGAAAAUAAGUUUUAACAAAUGAGGUCCAUAAUAGGGGAUGAACGAUCUUUUCAAGGCAGGCCAUUUUGAUGAGCGAUACAUACAAGAAAUGUAAAAUGCAUAAGAACUAUAUAAAUAAGAUUAAUUAACCCAAAAAAUUGAUGAAUUAAAUGAGCAUCUGAAGUGUACAACACAAAUUACCUCUAUUUACAAGAAAGCGGCUCAAAGUGCCAACUCAAAGUAUAUACUACUUUCGAGCCAUAUCUCCCUCUCUCCUCAUUUCUUUAUUUGGUUGGAGAGGCGGAAAAUAUGAGAAUACAAAGUAAUUCCACAAGAGCUAUUUCGCUCAGCGCCUCAAUUUUUUCCAAAUCUCCGGCACUGGUGCGCAUACAAUGCGUUCAAAUUGCUACUGGAGAACCAAAACAACAUGUUGCACAUAGUUAGAGCUUAACACUAAAGGAAUAUCAGCAUUUUAUACACAUGUUGACGUGUCAAAAUACAAUUAUAAUGUUUCUACUAGUAAUUAGCAAAUAAUAACACAAAUAGAAACCAGAUAAGGCAUACCAUAUAUACUUGAUGGUCAAAAGAAGGCAUAUCAUGAGCCAGAGAGCAAACGGUGAAACCGCUCAACUCUACUUGAACCACUAGAAGACCUAGCCUGGUUAUGGCAGGAAGUGUUCGAAGUUUUUCUUCUCCUUUUUGUUCGAAACAAAAAGUCUUCUGUAUCCAAAACAUAUGAUACCUACAGCAUAUAAAACUCAAAUGGAUCAAGGGAAGCAGAAAAUCAGAUAUUGGAAAAGUUAAUCCGAACAACACCAACACACCACUGGUCACAAAGACAGUAGUUAAUGAAGUACCUUGGAUGAAUGACAAGCUAUUUUACACUCCAGACCAUUGGCGACUUUAAGUCCUUCCAUGGCCUGACAAAUAGCAGACAAAUCAUCACUACUCGCAUAUUUGCGUUUGUUCCUGUAAACAUGAGCUAGCAUUAAUAAUCAUGACCAAUUGACUUCCAAAACUUGGUACGCUUAAAAAAACAGACAAAAUACCUCUUCAAAAAGAUGCCAGACUUCUCUCUUUUGUCAGGAAGAACGGUGAGAAAAUCAUUGUGCAAAUAAGCAGAAAAAUUAGGGUCCAUGGAAACAGCAGUCAUUUCAGGCUUAUCAUUCCCAUAAUCCAUAAGCUGAAUAGACACCCGGGUUGGUGAAGAGAACUGCAAAGGAACGAACCAUGACAACGUAUUCAGGACACAGUUGGAGUUCUAUAAACCUACACAUUCUAUAUAUAAAUAUCAAAGUGACAAUGUAUUGAAGACAUACACAUUCUAUGCGAUAAAUGUUCUCAUCGUGAAGAAGAACACGAGCAUUUUCGUGAUAAACUACAUCCACGAAUCUUCCUGGUUUUCUCGAAUUCUCAAACGCAUAUAGUUGGACAAGUUUAUUAUCCAUCUCAUCCCCAGCGACUGUUUGGAGCUGAAAACAAGUACAUGAAGCAUAAGAUUUAGGGUCAAAAAGAAGGAAAAAUGGAAAGCUGCUUGAAGAACUAGAAGGUUAAGAAAACACACUCACCUGUUUAACAAGCUUGUAGAUCAGCUUGUCUAAUGUGAAAAGAAGAUACGACUGAGUCCCAAUGAUAGCUCGACAAUCAUCCUCAAAUUUUGUAUUAUCAGAAGAACCGUCGAGUAAAUUGUAAAGUGCAUUCAUGAAACUGUACCACAUGAAAUAGAUUCAGAAAAUAUAUACUAAUGACUUCACAGUUACUGAAAACUAGGUAAAGAAGACCAAAGCCCUACCUAGCAUACGAAUCAGUUGUGCUUGUUUCAUUUGAUGCCCGCCACUUUUUCUCCGCUGAUGACGAGUUAAUCUUUGCUGAUUGUAUUCUCUCAUAUAGUGUCUGUCAAAUUAGUGAAAAAUCAGAUACUAAGAUCCCCAAUUAAGUAUUUGUAAGCAAAAUACAUGCUGCGUGUGUUAAAUGACCCUUACUUGGUGAAGCCUAAAAAGUACAUAGAAAGAAUCAUUUCCAUAGAAAAUCCUAGAGUCCUUGUCCUUGUCAAGUAAAGCUGGAGGAACAUGUUUUGCAAGAGGCUUCACAGAAAGUAGAAAACGUUCUGAGUGCGGUAAAGAUGUUCCAUCUCCUUCAACAUCAUGGGCAUCCGCUGUCCCUUCAGCUUCACCUUCACUCUCGGCCUUGGUAUCAUGCUCAUCAUUGUCCCCCUCUUCCUCACGCUCUUCUCGAGAACAUUCCUCUCCCUCACCAGAUUCACUUCCAGAGACAUCACCAUUCUCAGAUGCAUUCUCACUAUCCUCUGAUGAUCUAUGAGCACUUUCCUCACCUUCAUCAUCAGCGUCAGCCUCAUUUUCACCACCUGCAUCUCCACCACAUACUUCUUCUUCCCCAUGUCUGCCUUUAAGUUGCCUGCUGGAAACACAAUCCUUUGGUUUUUGAACAGCCUCUGAACCGGCUUCUCUAUAAUUUGCAAAAUUAUCCUCCUCAAAAUCUCCAUUUGGAGAUAUUUCACCUUCUUCUCUUUCAAUCUUAAAGUUUCUUACAGACUCUUCCACAUAUCUGUGACCUUUGGUGCCUUCUGUGAUUGCUCCAUUUGAGGAUAUAACGGGUCUAGUAGAAUCACCAGCCUGUGAGAUCAGUAAGAACAUAAAUAUUAAGCAUGUAGUUAUCAAAAUUCAAGGCAAGAAAACAACUGACAAAUAGUUCAUGUUCGCCCCCCCCCCCCCCCCCCCAAACCGCAGGACUGAUGAAUGGAAGUAGAGAAUCAGUAAGAUAAGUAGACUUCAAAAAGGUUGACAUUAGACACUGACAUGCAGUGCAUAUGAAUAUGUAACAUACACUUCAAAUGUUCAUAACUUCAUAUAUCUCUCUACCAAAAUCAAAGACACCCUCCACAGUUAAAUAUGUUUUAUAAGACCUUUUAACAUCACAUAUUAAACUAUUGAUUGGUCUUCUAAAUAGUUUCACCAUCCGUACCAGCGGCAACAGUCCAUAAACUAAUAUCAACCAGGCCUAUCCAAACAUGAGGAGUAUUACACUAUUACCACACUGUUAAUCAUAUACCUCUGGUGAAGGUAACUCAACCGCGCCCUCAAGAGUGCCGUUUCCAGGUCUUGAAGGAGUAGGGCUAAGGCCUAGCCAAAAAAAAAAAAGGGAAAGCAUAUCAGAAAUCAAUUCAGAAAUAAAAGGGUAAUAAUAAGAUACAAAACGAAAACAGUUAGCAUGGCAAGAGGGUAAAAUAUAUUUAAACAUUCUGCAAACCUGAUAAUUUGUCCACAUUAGUCCGUCCAUUACUUUGCUCCAAGCCAGUAGCAAGUGAUACAUUAGACAUGACUAAUCUUUCAUUAAAAUUGUCCUGUUUGCUAACUCUGGACACUUCAUCGGCUGUAGAUGCAUUACUUUGCACUUUACCUUGUUGAGAGGUAUUGCAGAAAGCAUCACCCUUACAUGUAGCAUGAUCAAUGUCAUGAGAACUUUCUUCUUUGAGCCCAUUAGCUCCAUUUACUGUCCAAGCUCUUGCAGAGCUUGAUUGUUCAGGUUGAAUACUUUCAUCUCCGUUUCUUGAUGUAUUUACCUGCUUAGAAGUUGUCGUAAUAGCACCCCCAUCAGGACUAUCAUCACUCUCUCCCCCACUCACAGCCCCAUCUUUUACAGCAUGAGAUUUUGGCUUCACAACAUCUUCAGUAUCCUCUGCAACCUGAGGUCGAGGAGGAACACCAAGCACUGGCUCAAGGAAGGUUGUCCAUAUCUUCAUAACUUUGUCCAAUUGUUCGGUUGUGCAAACUUCUCCACAAGAGUAUUUGAUGAGUUGAUAAAGAUCUUCAUGGAUGUCCAGAUCAGGGUACUCAAAUUCCAAAUUUGGAAUAAGAGGUCGUCUAUUUCCAGCAGCAAUAGCAAGAAGAACAUCAUCUUCCUUCCGCUUCUUCUCACUCAUCUCUUUAAUCUCCGCCAAUAAGGCUGCAAAUAUUUGUCCCCGUCCAGGGAGGAAGAGGAGCAAGAAUUAAUUUUUCAAAGUGAAAAGGGCAUUUGCAAACCAAUGGAAGACAGUAGCUUUUAUAAUAUUCCAAAGAGAAAUGGAAGACCAGGCCCUGCUUAACUAAUACAGAAUCACAAUCUGUAUACAUGACAGAGUAUCACAUUUGCAGUAGUUACCUUUGGUGCUUAAGCUCUUUGAGUCCUGUUGCUUGAAGUAAAAGCUACGAUGAUCAAGUGACUUGUGAUAGUUCUUGGCAUAUAUAUCAGCCCAGACUUUGUUAAAAUCAGAGCGACACCUUGCCCACUCUUCUUGCUUUUGCUUCAAGCGCGUUAAUAUAACAGGCAAAGCUAGUGAAGCAUUUUUCAUCAACACGUCCAUCACAUCAAGCCCGUGGUCACCAUAUAAUCGCUCAACGCAUCUUAGAUUCAGAGCUAGAUGAACAAAGAAGAACAAGAAAAAUCAGCAAUCAAACCCAGACCAUGGAUGAAAAUAGGUAUUCCUCAAACAAGUAAAUCAAAGAAACCUGUGAAGUAUUCUUUAAUUUGGAUUGGACUCUCAGUCUUAAUGGUGUUGUUGUUGAUCUUUUCUAAUAGUUCUUCCACACGCUUGGUCGUUACAUUCACAGACUCUAACAGCAUAUCUAAUUCAAACCUGAAAAACAAAAAUCAUAGAUAGAUUAGUUUAUAACCAAAAAUUGGGAAUCCUUUCAAUGCAAUUGGUACCGCAACCGAUAGAAGGAAAAAAAAUAUGUGGAACUAAACCACAAGCACAAACUUAUGACAUCUCAAUUAUAAUUCUCAGAAAGAAAUAGCUUUCAGCAUUUAAGACAAAAAUGGAAACAGAAAAACGGGAAUGACAACAAAACAAAUAAAGAUACAAGUUAUAACGAACGUAAAUAAUGAAAUUUAAGACAGACCUAUCAUCUUCACACCGAAACAGGCUCUCUUCAUACUGGUUUUUGCGCAUGUGUUUAAAAGAAUAAUCCUCGCUUCCAGAAGUAACAGACACCCAAUGAUCAUUUAGUACUUCACAACCAAGCUCUGUUCUUUGGCUAGCAGAAGGUAUUGGAUACUGCAAGAAAGUUACAGAUAUCAGUAAAACAUCAAAUAGUCUUUAAUGUAAAGAUAAGUGUACAUUUAAGGAGGACAGAAAAAGAAACACGUACAUUCUUUGGCAGAAGACGAUAGCUUGGAGUGCAGCGCUCGCAAUUAGAGAGGUCAAGCUCAUUAAUAGGUUUUGCCAAAUAUUUGUCCUUGCUCGAAAAUAUAGACAUCUUCUGGCCUCCAAUUUCUUUAUUUCCAAAGGCACCAUUUCUAUCAGGUCUAUCCCUUUCUCGGUUUUCACGCUCUCUAUCUUUAAUCAUGUCAUCCCUUUCACGAUCUCGAUCUUUAUCCUUAUCCUCUACCUUCACUGGUCUUGGUACAUUGCCUUCAUUCCAUAUAGAUUCUGUGAUGGAUUUAGAUAUUAGUGAUGAUUUGCAAGAACAGAGAUCAAAUCCAGAUAUCAAAAUGCAAUUACAAUUUCUCAGAAAACGUUAACCACCCAAAAUAAAAAUGAUGUUAUGCAGUCCGAACCAGUGUGAUAAACCAAGAGAAUGAUCAAAGUUUUGUGUCUAACAAAAAGGAACAAAUUCUUUUACGUACUUUUACUCAUGACACCAGCAAGGAACCCAUCUGCAGGACAGGACUCAAUUAGAUACAAUGUUAACCACAGUAGAUAGAGCAGGUAACAGAAGAGAGUAGAACUUCACCUUUCUUCUCACAACAUGACAAAAAUUCAUUGAACCCAUCCAUAAGAUCGGGAUAUUUUCCAAUUAAAUCACCCACCUACAUGAGUGAAGAUCUCAAAAUUUAGUGACUGUAUUUUGAUAAGUCUUUUAAAUUAGGAGAUGGUAACACUUAGCAUCAAUAUUAUAUGCAUGUCUUUACCAGAUUCUGCAAUUCAGCUCGGGUAAUAAUCUCCUUGCUAUAAAUAUGGAGGCACUUCAAAAACUCCUGGUAAGCAUCAGGAUUUCGUAGCUUCUCCUUCACCUUCUCACAGAAGGCACUCUCCGAGCCAUAUAUGCCUGACAUGCCAUGCCAUGCAAUAAGUAAAUGAAGCUAUUUGAGAAACAUGAACAAGACCAACAGACACAAAAAUUCAACCGUUCAAAAAAAAAAUCAGGUGGUUAAGUAUAAAAGGAAGAGUAAAGACAACUUAUACUACACUUAACACUGACAGUAAAUCUCAAGUUACACACACACAGCAAUACUCAGCAAUCCAAGUUAUGAGGGCAUUUACACCAUGUUAUACAAAGAAAACAAAGAGUGGAGCUUUCUUGAUAUAUUGAUGGUUUAAAUGCAUUACUUUGUUGAAUAUGAAAGAAAACUCGUUUGUAAACCAGUUCAAAAACAUCAAAAUCCUCACUUUUUGCAGAAUUUUUAUCAUCAUAAGAAGAUGAAAUGAGAUGUGCUCCAAGGUUUUCGACGUCUUCCCCACCUUGGUGCAACUGGUCAGUAGCCAAGUCUUCACCCCUACGAGUAGAUUUUCGUUUGUGUGGAAAACGCUGCAUGUUGAAGUCCCUGCUGCCAUCAUGGUCAAAAUCCCUAUCGUCUCGUCUUUCUCUAUCUUCUCUCCUCUCCUUUUCUUUUUCACUGCGCCUCCUUUGCUCUUUCUCAACCUUCAUCAAAGCCCUAUCAUGGUCCAGAUCAGGGCGGUCAACACUGAGAUCAUGCUCAGGGUAAGAACCCACGGGCCUUUCUUUCUGGCAACAGCACAUGUAGCCUAUGUUAAAAAAAUUGAUGCAGGUACAGAUACGAGAGAGAGAGAGAGAGAGAGAGAGAGAGAGAGAGAGAGAAUUAGACAUGAAAAUGUGAAACUCAAAGUAGAAAUAAACCUUGUCAACAAGCAUUUGCCGCAUAGGGGGCAUGGCAGAGCUCCUAUCACGAAGCAUCGAGUUUCUUUGAGAUGGAGCAACCUGGAUUGAGGCCGUUCCUGUUGUAUCAGGUAAAAAGUGAGUGAACUCACCAAGCAAGUCUGGGUGGUCUUGGAAAAGUGCUGAGACCUGAAAUAAGUAAGAUGAAUUUGCGAAAACAUGAGUGCAUGAAAAGACCAAGGAAAGAAACUCUAUACAAAAACAAAGCACUAAAACACACCUCCUGGUAAACUUCUGAGAUGGACUUGUUUUCCUUUCUGUACAUAUUCAGAAUGUCCAAAAAGGAUUUAUAAACAUGAUCAUCAUGUUGAAAUCGUGUCUGCAGGUAAAGAAUUCAUGGGGUUAAAAAAUCUUCAAAGGGAACCUGUAACCUCAAAUUUAGCUAUGAAAUAAUGUUCCCACCUUAAUCUUGUUCACAAAACUAAUAGCUUCCUCAAAUUCAACAGGCUUCUUAUGAGGAGGUUGUUCAUCCUCCGGAGGGAGAGUGAUCUCAUAUCCCUUCGGCAAGAAGGUAUUAAAACCUAAUAUUAGGUCUCGAUGCCCUUUAAAUAAAUCCUUCACCCUCUGUAUCACACCCGAGGUGUCAACUCUACAAUCAACACAGCACACAUCAAUACACAAUAAGGUCAUGUAAGAAAAUGUAAACUCUCCUUGCAUUAACAUAUUCAUUGUCUUAACCUUUGAGCUUUGAAGUCCUUCAUGACUUCAAGAAAGUCUUCGUAUUUCUCCUUGUUGUUUUCAAAUAUCUCCUUCACCGCCUUCAGAUAUGACAAGGCAUCGUUCGUUGUUAGCUUCUGUGAAGCUGUUGAUGUAAUCAUCUGGGGCUGCCCCGAGCUUCACCACCAAAAAAAAAAAAAUAUCACAAAUUAGUCUAAUGCGCAAGUAUCCUCUAAAACAAGAAGUAAUGCCUGCAAACAUGACCAGCCUCACUCCACAACUCAGAAACACUGAAACCAAAGCUUCUGCGACCUUCACACACCAACUCUAAUUUUGCUUACCAAGCCAAAAACGAAAGGAAUUAACCAAUUUCAAGUUAACCUAGCACCGAUUCUCCGGCUAUACAAAACUAGAUUAACAACUACAGUGAGUGAUAAACAUGUUAAUUUUCAACGAAUUAAAACCAAAACCACCGAGCACAGACUCAUCGAAUCAAACCGAAAUUUCACUCUCGUUAACAAAAUUAACCACAAGCAACAAAAAUUCACAGCAAGUCAAAAAUCGAGAGAAACUCUUACGGCUCUCCUCGAGAAGUAACCAUAGGGCGUUUAACUUGCGAGCUUAUAUAACCGUCGUCGCGAGACCUCUUCAUCUUCUUCGCCGCUCUCCAACCUCUAAAUCAUGCCUCCAACUCCGAUUCAAACCCGAACCGAUUCCUAACCGAAAUCAAACUCGCUCAUUCCAAGCACAAAGCAGAUCUAAAAAAACCGAAGCACAAAAUUUACAGCACAGUAAAAAAAUCCAUACCGGCGAGAAUUCCAAUCGCUCAGCUCCGAGCAGAGAUCACCUCGCCGGAGCCGAAAUCCUAAACCGCAGAAGCAAAAAGAGGCUCAGCAACUAGAGAAAUUUUACUUGGAGAUAAAGCAAUGCUAGGGGAAAAUUGCAGUGAAGAAUCGAGAGUUUUUACCGAGGAGGAUCGGUAAGUCGUCGAAUUAAGGCGAAGUCUUCAACUGGAAGAAAUGGAAGUGAUGGUGGCUGUUGGAUUAUGGUGAUGCUUCUUCUUCUAUAUUGGAGAAGAAGAAGAAGAAGAGCCGAAAAAAUCAAAAAGAAAAUUUAUGAAAGUUUUCUACCUACUUUUUUGUCNCUUUUAUCUUUCUCUCUCUGAUUCUAAUUCUAUGAGAGAAAUUACACAAACAGAAAACGACAGCGAGCGAGAGAGAGAGAGAGAGGGAGAGAGAGUUUUACAAAAUGUGGUUUAUAUAUUGUGGGGGGAUGUGUAUAUAAAUAUAAGCACUGGGCUAAACACAGUGGUGUAGGGGAAAAUUUGGGAGAGAGCAGUGGACUUACGGUUAUCUCCCCGGUCACAUUUUUUGUUAGUUGUGUAAUGAAUUUAUUUUAUAAUUUAGUAUUUUUUUAUUUACUAGAGAUACAUAAAUAUAUAAUUUUAUUUACCGUGUUAGAUAUUCAGUUUUUGAGUUUUACCGUAUCGUUGUGUUCAUGUGACAGAGCUCGGAGCCUUGGAGGAAAGUAAACUAGGGUUUUUGUGGUGGUGAAUAUGGGGAUUGUGUGGGGGUAUAUGAGUCAUGUUGUUCAAAAAUUGGUGAUGAGUACGGGGAGGUGAUGUGUGUGUAAAAUUUGAGGCGUGCAUUUGUCUUUUGGCAAUUUAGGGAAUUAGGGUUAGGGCAAAGCUGGUGGAUUUUUCCCCUUUCUACUUUUUUGGGUCUGUGAUUUUUGGGUUACUUGGUGUAAUUGGUUUAUAGUGCUAUUUGAUGUAUGUGGGAGUUUGGUUUGUUAUGGGACUAUUGAGGGAAUGAGGGGUGAGAGUGGUUGGUUUUUCUAGAUCAUGGUUUGUUGUGAUGAAAUUGCAGAGGAUUAGGGAGAGGGAUUUAGCUUGGAAAUCAAUUCUCCGAUGAUGAUGAUCUAAAUUGUGGCUAGGAUUGGAUUAUUGGAAAGUAUAAAGUGAUGGGCUUGUUACUUUGGAUGGCUUUGCUUAUAAGCCUAACAUUGUAGUUGAAGUCCCAAAAUGAAAGGAUAGGGUUCGGGGUGAAGCCCAAGAAAGUGAUCAUGGAUUUGAGGUCCAAAGGAAGACAUGGAUAGUCACGUGGAGGAUGAGUUAGGCUUUUGGGACAAAGAAAGAGAUGAACUAAAGCCCUGUUGGGAAGUGGUUUAUGUAGUUGCACAAGUGACAAGUGGUUUUGUCUUUUUUAAAACACCCCCUCCCUCUUCAUUGGGCUUUCCAUAGCUACUUUAUGCACUUGGAUCCGUUUUUCCUGUGGUGGUUUCUGGUGGGGAGUAUGGCAUGGUCUUAGUACUAUAGACCAACAAAUUGAGAAAGGCCUAAAUGCACUUUAGUUGGAUUUUUCUCUUUUCGGUGUUAUGAAAAUACGUUUCGUAUUAUUUUCGCCCACAAUGUCGAAUAAAGUUUUGAGUUCAAAGCAGGGGCGGAUCCAAGUUAUAACAACCUGGGACUCAAGUCUCACCCAAAUAUUUUGAAGAAAAAAAUUACUUGCAUAUAGGUGUCUUGCUUUCUCUUUAUCAUAUCUUGAUUGCAAGGUUUUUGUCCGGCCUAAGUCCCACUUUAGCCCACUCCAGUUGCCCAACUAAUGUUUCAUUUGUUUUUUUUGUUGUUUUUUUUUUAUUAAUUUUUUUUUUUUUGUUUUUUGUUUUGUUUUUUUUUUUAUAAAAAGAGGGAUCCCUAUUCAAAAAAUAAAAUAAAAAGAGGGAUAAAUCAACCAUAUAGAUAAGAAGUAAAGUCUAAAACUUUAGACCAAAGAAGAAGUCCAAAACUCGUCUCUCUCUUAGGGUUGAGUGAUUGAAUUAACACUAAAUUUCAUCCUUUUUUCUGACACUUUCAAGCCUGAAGGUAGUUCCAUCCCUGAUUAGUCUUCAUCACAUUUGUAAAUAUUUAGUGAGAUGCAUUACAUCUAUAUAUUUUGAAUUACAUUGACAUGUUAUUUAGCUUCUUUUAUGUUACAUAUACAGAGUUUACAUAUGUUGUUUUGUAUAAGCAUGCAUUCAAGGGGCAAGACUCACUAUGGCCCUUUGUCUAUGUGCAUACUUUUUCUCUCACGUGCCGUCGAGCAUUUUUUUUUUAGUGAAAAUUCAAGUCCCACCCGGUUUGAAUUCCUGGAUCCGCCCCUGGUUCAAAGGUACGUGUGAACAUAAAAUGGUAUCUUAGGGUCGAGUAGUCCGUCUUUCUGAAGGUUUAAUGUUAUUUUCUGCAUCAAUGUUUGUUGUUAGGGAAUGUGGCGGGAAUGGUAACAUAAAAUUUUGGCGCGAUUAAUGCACUAACUGUUAAAAUAAGAUGUUGAUAACAACAUAACAUUUUGGUGUGAACAAGUAAUACCGUUAGAAUAAGUGGCGGGGAUAACAACAGGACAUUUGGCACGAAAGUUAAUGUCCAUCGACAUAUAUGAUGUAGAUGAUAACUAAAUAUUUUGGGGCGAAUAAAAAUAUUGAACGUUAAAGACCAUAACAGGAAUGAAAAGGGAAAAAUUUAGCAUUGACAUGGGUGUUUACCAUUAGAAAUGUGAAAAUGUUUGUUUUCACGAAUAUAUGGCUAGAGAGGAAAAUUGGAUAGAAAAUGGAUAGGGUAUAUAAUUUUGUGUUGAAGGCUGGCUGAACCGUUAUAAUUAUUUCCCAUUUUCUUCAUACAAUUAGAGCCAGGUAUAUACAUGGACUGACAUAUUA